RNAcentral lists this transfer RNA (90 nucleotides) under Terribacillus aidingensis. It matches the Rfam family "tRNA". Rfam says of the family: Transfer RNA (tRNA) molecules are approximately 80 nucleotides in length. Their secondary structure includes four short double-helical elements and three loops (D, anti-codon, and T loops). Further hydrogen bonds mediate the characteristic L-shaped molecular structure. tRNAs have two regions of fundamental functional importance: the anti-codon, which is responsible for specific mRNA codon recognition, and the 3' end, to which the tRNAs corresponding amino acid is attached (by aminoacyl-tRNA synthetases). tRNAs cope with the degeneracy of the genetic code in two manners: having more than one tRNA (with a specific anti-codon) for a particular amino acid; and 'wobble' base-pairing, i.e. permitting non-standard base-pairing at the 3rd anti-codon position. The record is from Rfam by way of RNAcentral. Lineage: Bacteria; Bacillati; Bacillota; Bacilli; Caryophanales; Bacillaceae.
GGAGGGGUAUCCAAGUCCGGUGGAAGGGAUAAGUCUCGAAAACCGACAGGGGUUUAACGGCUCGUGGGGGUUCGAAUUCCCCCUCCUUCA